UACAGUCAUAUCACAUUGAAACACUGAUUCCCUUAUAAUCACUGAAGGUAAGCAUCAUUGAGCCUGGUCAGUACCUAUAUGGGUGACCACUUGGGAAUACCAGGUACUGUAAG
Acanthosepion pharaonis is the source of this 113-nucleotide non-coding RNA. Lineage: Eukaryota; Metazoa; Mollusca; Cephalopoda; Sepiida; Sepiidae. The record is from the annotation of a GenBank genome assembly.